Molecule: transfer RNA, 68 nt
Filed under: Dryaderces aff. inframaculata DO-2022
Lineage: Eukaryota; Metazoa; Chordata; Amphibia; Anura; Hylidae
Description: tRNA-Glu
Rfam family: tRNA
About the family: Transfer RNA (tRNA) molecules are approximately 80 nucleotides in length. Their secondary structure includes four short double-helical elements and three loops (D, anti-codon, and T loops).
Source: RNAcentral
GUUUUUAUAGUUGAAUACAACAGCAGUUUUUCAGACUGCAGGUCUAGGUUAAAAUCCUUGUAGGAAUC